RNAcentral lists this ribosomal RNA (448 nucleotides) under uncultured eukaryote. RNAcentral's name for it is "bacterial SSU rRNA". It matches the Rfam family "Eukaryotic small subunit ribosomal RNA", at positions 1213 to 1671 of the family's 1831-position model. The record is from RNAcentral.
ACUCACCAGGUCAGGACACGGUAAGGAUUGACGGACUGAAGGCUCUUUCUCGAUUCCGUGGAAAGUGGUGCAUGGCCGUUUUUGGUUGGUGGAUCGAUCCGUCUGGUUAAUUCCGUUAACGAACGAGACCUCGGCACUCCGAAUAGCGCGGCGGACGUCGCGGCCUCCGGGCCGUCUUCCGCACGAGCUUCUUAGAGGGACCGUCCCCCGCCGGGGAAGGAGGUGCGAGGCAACGACAGGUCUGUGAUGCCCCUUAGAUGUUCUGGGCCGCACGCGCAUUACACUGACGCGUCCAACGGGUGACUCCCGACCCGAAGGGGCCGGGGAAUCCGCAAGGCGCGUCGUGAUGGGGAUUGAACGUUGCAAUUGUUGUUCACGAACGAGGAAUUCCUAGUAGGCGCGGGUCAUCAACCCGCGCCGAUUACGUCCCUGCCCUUUGUACACACCG